GGUGAUAGAGAGGGCAUGUAGUCGGGCCUCUCGUAGUCUGGAUGGUCGCCGCUCCGCUAGCAGAAGAGGUGUACCCUCGUCCGAUCGGUCCCGACGCAAAACUCUAGCUCGUGGGAGCAAUGGUGGACUUCGACGCGUGCAUACAAUAGAGAUGAGAGGCUGCCAGUGGUGAGUUCCUUUACACAGACCUCACCACAUCCCCGUCUAUAGGAUGACCAUGGCCGGAUGUAAGUGGAUUGUCGUCAAAUUGCAAAAUAUGUUAGAAACCAUAGAUAUAGAUCCUCAGUCCUGGCCAUGAGUUAGCUAAUUUGAUUCUGUUUUUCGACCAAGGGGUGUUAUCUAUCUACCACAAUAAUAAGCAGGAUAUCUUGGUCAAAGUGAGAGAAAAAAAGAUGGUUUUUCAAAAAGGCUGCCAUGUAAAUCUGGCACUGCAUCAUUGCCAUUUGUGAUGUUUUUAGCAGUAUCUGCUUAUUAUGGCUCACCUUGUAUUAAUUUUGUAAUUACUGAACAUUAUCAUUUCCGUUAGUGCUAAAUAGGGAUCUGCUUAGGAACUAAUAUAUGUAGAUUUUUCUUUUGCGAAUGGUUCCAAUAUUUGACCACUUGAAUUAUUUAUGUGCAUUGUAGAUGCAAGAUGAAGCUAUAUGUUCUGAAGUUUUGGGGUCUCCUGGGCACAAGAUUCAUUUAACAGAGCUGCUAAUGUUGGUUAUCUAAAUGCUUCGUUGGAAGUUUCCAGAAAAUAAUGUUUGAAGGAAAAUAUUUAGUCACGAUAUUUUUUCAGAGAAGAGCAUUCUCUAUUCACUGCUACUUGUUUUAACAUAAUAGAGAGUAAUUUACGGUAAUUUCAUAUAAUUUAAAGUUAUAUCAGUCCAAUAAUAUAUAGAUGAACCCUUUUCCCUUAAAUUAUAUGCAUAUAUUUUCUUGGCACUACUGUUGUUUGGUGAUGUUACUAAGUGUGUAUGCAAAUUAAUAAGUUCAAAAUGGAUGUG
This 986-nucleotide long non-coding RNA is filed under the name Triticum aestivum (bread wheat). Its description in RNAcentral is "long non-coding RNA (TAES_LNC027787)". Lineage: Eukaryota; Viridiplantae; Streptophyta; Magnoliopsida; Poales; Poaceae. The record is from RNAcentral.